This 520-nucleotide unclassified non-coding RNA is filed under the name uncultured Glomus. RNAcentral describes it as "SSU rRNA". It matches the Rfam family "Eukaryotic small subunit ribosomal RNA", at positions 569 to 1090 of the family's 1831-position model. Lineage: Eukaryota; Fungi; Glomeromycota; Glomeromycetes; Glomerales; Glomeraceae. The record is from RNAcentral.
AGCAGCCGCGGUAAUUCCAGCUCCAAUAGCGUAUAUUAAAGUUGUUGCAGUUAAAAAGCUCGUAGUUGAAUUUCGGGGUUAGCAGGUCGGUCGUGCCAUCGGUAUGAACUGGUCUCGCUGAUCCCUCCCUCUUGACGAACUGUGAUGCCAUUAAUUUGGUGUCGCAGGGAAUCAGGACUGUUACUUUGAAAAAAUUAGAGUGUUUAAAGCAGGCUCACGCUUGAAUACAUUAGCAUGGAAUAAUGAAAUAGGACGUUUGAUCCUAUUUUGUUGGCUUCUAGGAUUGACGUAAUGAUUAAUAGGGAUAGUUGGGGGCAUUAGUAUUCAAUUGUCAGAGGUGAAAUUCUUGGAUUUAUUGAAGACUAACUACUGCGAAAGCAUUUGCCAAGGAUGUUUUCAUUAAUCAAGAACGAAAGUUAGGAGAUCGAAGACGAUCAGAUACCGUCGUAGUCUUAACCAUAAACUAUGCCGACUAGGGACCGGAUGAUGUUAAUUUUUUAAUGACUCAUUCGGUGCCUUA